Molecule: ribosomal RNA, 254 nt
Filed under: uncultured bacterium
Lineage: Bacteria
Description: partial 16S ribosomal RNA
Rfam family: Bacterial small subunit ribosomal RNA
Source: RNAcentral
UACGUAGGGUGCGAGCGUUGUCCGGAAUUACUGGGCGUAAAGGGCGCGUAGGCGGUCCGAUAAGUCCUGUGUGAAAUCCCUCGGCUCAACUGAGGAACUGCACGGGAGACUGUCGGGCUUGAGUUCGGGAGAGGGAAGCGGAAUUCCGGGUGUAGCGGUGAAAUGCGUAGAUAUCUGGAGGAACACCGGUGGCGAAGGCGGCAUCCUGGACCAAUUCUGACGCUGAGUGAGCGAAAGCCAGGGGAGCAAACGGG